Long non-coding RNA from Mercurialis annua (annual mercury), 536 nucleotides. RefSeq lists it as uncharacterized. The transcript has 3 exons. NCBI's taxonomy places the organism in Eukaryota, Viridiplantae, Streptophyta, Magnoliopsida, Malpighiales, Euphorbiaceae. The record is from RefSeq and is a predicted model, not a curated record.
AGCCACCAUAUUUUUCCUUACUAUUUCAUGAUUUAUUUUUCUAGCAUGCGAAGAACAUAAAAAAAGUUAACAUUCAAGGCAUGAGUGCCAUUAUGGAGAAAAUAUUUAAGCAAAGACAGAUGUUAUUGGAUGCCAAAUAUCAAAAUUGUGACACCACUCAAACCCAAAUUCGACAUUUUGAAGAAGUUAUCCCGCACAACUACAAAUCCGUUAGGAAAAAAGGCACAAAAAUACUGUGUCCAUAGUUACGUUACGUGAUGUCAUUCACGUUUUGCUGUUUAAUUUGUUGACUGCAAAUUGGGAGUGAAGCUUUUAGGUGAUGGCCACAACGUACUUUUCGUCGCCAAAAAUGAACUGCUUGGGUCUGUUAUGUAAUCUAUUACUAUUAUCAUCGAUGCAUAUGCUUUAGGUUCUAAGCAGUUUGUGGAAUUAUAAGUGAUGCGUAAAAAAAUGUGCGACACCAAGUAUCGAUAGUUAAAGAUUAUAUAACAAUAAUUGUAGUUUGCUUUGUAGUUCUUCUAUUUCAAAUUAUGUAC